AACGAACGCUGGCGGCAUGCCUAACACAUGCAAGUCGAGCGAGACCUUCGGGUCUAGUGGCGCACGGGUGCGUAACGCGUGGGAACCUGCCCUUAGGUUCGGAAUAACUCCCCGAAAGGGGUGCUAAUACCGGAUAAUGUCUUCGGACCAAAGAUUUAUCGCCUUUGGAUGGGCCCGCGUUGGAUUAGCUAGUUGGUAGGGUAAAAGCCUACCAAGGCGACGAUCCAUAGCUGGUCUGAGAGGAUGAUCAGCCACACUGGGACUGAGACACGGCCCAGACUCCUACGGGAGGCAGCAGUGGGGAAUAUUGGACAAUGGGCGAAAGCCUGAUCCAGCAAUGCCGCGUGAGUGAUGAAGGCCUUAGGGUUGUAAAGCUCUUUUAACCGGGAUGAUAAUGACAGUACCGGGAGAAUAAGCUCCGGCUAACUCCGUG
Molecule: ribosomal RNA, 433 nt
Filed under: uncultured bacterium
Lineage: Bacteria
Description: partial 16S ribosomal RNA
Rfam family: Bacterial small subunit ribosomal RNA
Source: RNAcentral